UAUUGUUCGAGUCUUUCUCACAUUGUCCAAUUUAUUAAGGCAGCAAAACAUUUUGAUCUUGUCUUAGUUUCGUCUUGGUUCUUAAUUGAGUCCUAAUUUUUUUUUAGGAUGAACAUGAGAUAAUUGUGUUCCGAUUCAGUUGUGUCCCAUGAGCACUUAUCCUGUAUUCCAUGCUGUCCUGUGAACACAUGGUUGGCAAAAGUGUUAAAGUUCCUUGCUCUCUUGGAAGUGAUGAUUCACACAAGCCUGGCAAUCGUGAUUCAUCUAAAAAAUGAGAUGAAUGCUGAUUCCUGGACCCAAGAAUUAUCAUUGGCACUGAAAAAUCCUUCCUUUAAACUCAUUGGCCCCUGCACCUCGACCUUCUCACCUCUGGAACUCUUCUCAUGUGGCUUCCACCAAAUUUUUAAGCCAAAAUCAUCCUCGCUAUCCAAUCUUCUGUGAUUUCUUUGUGACAUUGAUUCGUGUUCCUCUUCCCUGGGCAACCUUGUGCUUGAUAGGUUCCUCUUAAAUCUCUUUGCUACUUUGUUGAUCACUGCUCUGUUUUGGUUAGGAAAUGGCGGCGGAGAUGCUUUCCCGGGACUCUUCGCUAAUUCAUUCGAGCGAGUUGAGUUAGUUGAUCGAUGAUUCCUUUCCCCGGGCCAAUUCUUGGCAUUCGUUCUCUUGCAUUCUGGAUUACGGUAUUCUCGGAGCAUGUAACAACUUAACUAAAAUCUGUAAGCUACCUUCUGCCUUGCUGUAAGAGCUUCCUUGCAAGCUGUGCUGUACAUUUCCAUCGUUUGCUUCAGUUCGAGCUUCAAUCUUCUCAUCUCGGCUUCCAUAUCAUCCUAUUAUUUCAAGAAGAGCUUCAUAAUUAAUUCCUUUCCUGGGAGGCAUGAAUGAGUACAUUUUUUAAGAGUACGACCGACAGAGAGCCAUUGAAAAUUGGACAGCUAAGGUAUGAAGAUCAAGUUGCAAUAACCCGUUAGUAUUCGGGCAUGUUAAUAUAGUACGGUAGGUUAGUCCAACAAAUUGUUCAUGUUUUAUCCUUGACGUUGUCCUUACCGAUAGGGACAAUCUUGAGGAUGACCCCCCACUGUCUUGCGAGCUGAAUGAAAAGUCACCCUGGGAAUAGUUCAUGUCAAUUGACCUGGCCCCUGAGAAAGAUGACUCGGAGCUUCUGCCAUCAAAAUCUGAGCUGUUGGAAAGUCGAGGGGCCAUUCCGGGUUCGAGAUCAUCAAACAUCGAAGGAAGCAUCCUUUCGAUGCUUGGCCUUCCGCUGCUCACAAAUGAUAUAUCAGAGUCAGGGAUUGAGGAUUCGUACGGUUUGUAGCUUGAUCUGCCACCUCUUGUGAAUGGUGAUCUGUCCACAGAUUAUCCAGUUAGUCCUUUCACAAGUUCUUUAAUCUAUGUAAAUCUCCAUUUCAGCACACACUGGCAUUUGUAAUUUAACAUUCAACAAUUUCUAUGAAUGACAUUUACUACUGCCUUUAUGGAUGCAUAAAGAUCAUUUUAUAUGCGUGUUCUAA
This is a long non-coding RNA of Prosopis cineraria, 1505 nucleotides long. RefSeq lists it as uncharacterized. The transcript has 2 exons. The record is from RefSeq and is a predicted model, not a curated record. Lineage: Eukaryota; Viridiplantae; Streptophyta; Magnoliopsida; Fabales; Fabaceae.